RNAcentral lists this ribosomal RNA (301 nucleotides) under uncultured bacterium. RNAcentral describes it as "partial 16S ribosomal RNA". It matches the Rfam family "Bacterial small subunit ribosomal RNA", at positions 509 to 807 of the family's 1533-position model. The record is from RNAcentral.
CAGUCGCCACGGUAAUACAGAGGGGGCUAGCGUUGUUCGGAAUUACUGGGCGUAAAGCGCACGUAGGCGGCGAUUUAAGUCAGAGGUGAAAGCCCGGGGCUCAACCCCGGAACUGCCUUUGAGACUGGAUUGCUAGAAUCUUGGAGAGGCGGGUGGAAUUCCGAGUGUAGAGGUGAAAUUCGUAGAUAUUCGGAAGAACACCAGUGGCGAAGGCGGCCCGCUGGACAAGUAUUGACGCUGAGGUGCGAAAGCGUGGGGAGCAAACAGGAUUAGAUACCCGCGUAGUCCCUGUCUCUUAUAC